GGUCAGUGAUGUCUGGCAUGUAUUAGCUGAAAGCUAAUUUGAUGUGAUCUAAAUUUACACUGAGACCUU
This is a small nucleolar RNA of Jaculus jaculus (lesser Egyptian jerboa), 69 nucleotides long. RefSeq annotates it as small nucleolar RNA SNORD45. The record is from RefSeq and is a predicted model, not a curated record. The transcript has a single exon. Lineage: Eukaryota; Metazoa; Chordata; Mammalia; Rodentia; Dipodidae.